RNAcentral lists this unclassified non-coding RNA (342 nucleotides) under Hevea brasiliensis (rubber tree). The record is from RNAcentral. Lineage: Eukaryota; Viridiplantae; Streptophyta; Magnoliopsida; Malpighiales; Euphorbiaceae.
CCCGUCUUGGAUUGAAGCAAAGGCUCUUCUGCUGCUGAGCCGCCAGUGCCCACGACAAGUUUGAAGCGCAUGCGGACGCGGAGAUUCUCUAGGAAUUGGUACAAGGCGGAGGCAACUACACAAACGAGAAGAGUCAGAGCGUAACCCAGCCAUGUCGUGGUGCGCCACGAGUCCACCAGGAGAGUCACCUGGCGGCCCCAGUAAAAGGUCAUGUGCAUCAUCUUUGAUGACUCACUGAGUUGAAGAAUUAACAAGAAAAAAUGAACGAGUUUUUUAGAGAGAGAAAACUCAGCUGCCAAGUAAAGUAUCAAUGCAAUGACGGAGUUGAAAAGGCAUUGAAAU